CCUACGGGUGGCUGCAGUGAGGAAUAUUGGUCAAUGGGCGUAAGCCUGAACCAGCCAAGUCGCGUGAGGGAUGAAGGUUCUAUGGAUCGUAAACCUCUUUUAUAAGGGAAUAAAGAGCGGGACGUGUCCCGUCUUGUAUGUACCUUAUGAAUAAGGAUCGGCUAACUCCGUGCCAGCAGCCGCGGUAAUAAGGAGGAUCCGAGCGUUAGCCGGAUUUAUUGGGUUUAAAGGGGGCGUAGGCGGCCUUGUAAGUCAGCGGUGAAAGGCUGUGGCUCAACCAUAGAAUUGCGGUUGAAACUGGGAGGCUGGAGUUUGUUAGAGGCAGGCGGAAUGCGUGGUGUAGCGGUGAAAUGCUUAGAUAUCACGCAGAACCCCGAUUGCGAAGGCAGCCUACCAAGUCAUGACUGACGCUGAUGCACGAAAGCGUGGGGAUCAAACAGGAUUAGAUACCCCUGUAGUC
This 460-nucleotide ribosomal RNA is filed under the name uncultured bacterium. Its description in RNAcentral is "partial 16S ribosomal RNA". It matches the Rfam family "Bacterial small subunit ribosomal RNA", at positions 338 to 795 of the family's 1533-position model. The record is from RNAcentral.